AUUGAACGCUGGCGGCAUGCUUUACACAUGCAAGUCGAACGGCAGCACGGGGGCAACCCUGGUGGCGAGUGGCGAACGGGUGAGUAAUAUAUCGGAACGUACCCGGAAAUGGGGGAUAACGUAGCGAAAGUUACGCUAAUACCGCAUAUGCCCUGAGGGGGAAAGCGGGGGAUUCGCAAGAACCUCGCGUUUUCGGAGCGGCCGAUAUCGGAUUAGCUAGUAGGUGAGGUAAAGGCUCACCUAGGCGACGAUCCGUAGCUGGUCUGAGAGGACGACCAGCCACACUGGAACUGAGACACGGUCCAGACUCCUACGGGAGGCAGCAGUGGGGAAUUUUGGACAAUGGGCGCAAGCCUGAUCCAGCCAUGCCGCGUGAGUGAAGAAGGCCU
RNAcentral lists this ribosomal RNA (389 nucleotides) under uncultured bacterium. RNAcentral describes it as "bacterial SSU rRNA". It matches the Rfam family "Bacterial small subunit ribosomal RNA", at positions 30 to 417 of the family's 1533-position model. The record is from RNAcentral.